CAGAGAGAGAGAGAAGCCAUGGACGCCGGCUCUGGGGAAAAAAGGAUCACGCCCAGGCAGUGGUACUCCGCUUCUGUCUCCGACGCCUUUCUGAGCACCAGGUGCUGCUUGCAAACCCUCCCCAGAGUAUGCAGGCUGACGAGGUAUCUCCACCAGAGGUUUGGACUCAUCCGACACUCGCAACCUGCUGCUCCUCCGGC
Molecule: long non-coding RNA, 200 nt
Organism: Carcharodon carcharias (great white shark)
Lineage: Eukaryota; Metazoa; Chordata; Chondrichthyes; Lamniformes; Lamnidae
Exons: 3
Source: RefSeq, a predicted model, not a curated record